Molecule: long non-coding RNA, 364 nt
Organism: Gasterosteus aculeatus aculeatus (three-spined stickleback)
Lineage: Eukaryota; Metazoa; Chordata; Actinopteri; Perciformes; Gasterosteidae
Source: Ensembl
UGUCAAAUCCAACGUAGAAUGAUCUCUCACAAAGAGCAUUCCCCAUUGGAACAGACCCAAACGCAGAUCGAGUAAGGUGAAUAACAAAGGAUUUAUUUUCUUAGAGGCAAAUGCGGAAAAAUACUAGGAACAGGGUGGUGAGGGCGGUCCAGAAUCCCAGGAAUUACAGUUUGUGUACUACAUUCAGUCAUGCAAGAAGGAUUUUUUACGGGAUAUCUGCCACAGUCUACAAUCCUUUGCACAGCAGAUAUGAGGCAGAGGGCUCAAGCUGCAUGUAAACCGAAAGUAGUACGAAGCCCCAGUUGGAUACUGCAUGGAACAACAAGUACUUUGUGAGGAGCAGGCAGUUUGGCCUAAAGGUAAA